UGCUAAGCUGUCCUUCCCUAUAUAGCCU
Molecule: non-coding RNA, 28 nt
Filed under: Rattus norvegicus (Norway rat)
Lineage: Eukaryota; Metazoa; Chordata; Mammalia; Rodentia; Muridae
Source: RNAcentral